GUGGGGAAUCUUGCGCAAUGGGCGAAAGCCUGACGCAGCCAUGCCGCGUGAAUGAUGAAGGUCUUAGGAUUGUAAAAUUCUUUCACCGGGGACGAUAAUGACGGUACCCGUAGAAGAAGCUCCGGCUAACUUCGUGCCAGCAGCCGCGGUAAUACGAAGGGGGCUAGCGUUGUUCGGAAUUACUGGGCGUAAAGCGCGCGCAGGCGGUCUUCCAAGUCAGUGGUGAAAGCCUGGAGCUCAACUCCAGAACUGCCAUUGAAACUGUUAGACUUGAGUACGAGAGAGGUGAGGUGAAUUCCCAGUGUAGAGGUGAAAGUCGUAGAUAUUGGGAAGAACACCAGUGGCGAAGGCGGCUCACUGGCUCGUAACUGACGCUCAGGCGCGAUAGCGUGGGGAUCAAACAGGAUUAGAUACCCGUGUAGUCC
This 425-nucleotide ribosomal RNA is filed under the name uncultured bacterium. RNAcentral describes it as "partial 16S ribosomal RNA". It matches the Rfam family "Bacterial small subunit ribosomal RNA", at positions 354 to 796 of the family's 1533-position model. The record is from RNAcentral.